Molecule: non-coding RNA, 31 nt
Filed under: Mus musculus (house mouse)
Lineage: Eukaryota; Metazoa; Chordata; Mammalia; Rodentia; Muridae
Source: RNAcentral
UACCACAGUGAAUUCAUCAAUCGAACCUUGU